Molecule: ribosomal RNA, 104 nt
Filed under: Periophthalmus magnuspinnatus
Lineage: Eukaryota; Metazoa; Chordata; Actinopteri; Gobiiformes; Gobiidae
Source: RNAcentral
UACAACCAAAACUUCUUGUCAAAGCCUGAUCUCAGACGCUAAGAAAGACUGGGCUUGGUUAGUACUUGGAUGGGAGACUGCUGGAAUACCAGGUGGCAUAGUGG